UGUGACGUGGAGCCACUGUUAUGGGGGGAGAGGCAUGAAGAGGCCAGAGGUGGAGACGGGGCUGGGAGCAGGCAUCGAACGAGAGAGGGCACUAGGGAGCCGAGGAAGGUAGCCAUGAGCCAUCAGUGAACCAGAAGCAUGGGAACUGAAGCAGGUCACUGUGUGAGCGCCAUUGCGUGAGCAUCCGAGGCUUCUGAGGAGUCUGAGACCGGCUUUACCGUGUGAGCAACUGUCAUUGCUAAACUGGAAUGGAAAGCAUUCAGCAUAGUCUGUACCAUCAGGUCCUCCCAGGGCUCCAGCCUGUGCAGCUGUGUACCGGUCACCACAGGCACAACUCCUCACUUGGCCCUAACCUGCUAACCCUGCAGCACACCACACCAAGUGCGCCCAGUUGCCAAUUUCCAACCGUGAAUCACACUCCCUCUCUUGAGCCACAGAGCUUCCAGUUGAGAUUCUGUGGCUAUUACCACACAGUCUGGGGUUUCUCUCCCCAGGAUGUUAAGCAACAAAAUCCAAGUUAUCUUUGAAGAAA
Peromyscus eremicus (cactus mouse) is the source of this 532-nucleotide long non-coding RNA. RefSeq lists it as uncharacterized. Lineage: Eukaryota; Metazoa; Chordata; Mammalia; Rodentia; Cricetidae. The transcript is spliced from 2 exons. The record is from RefSeq and is a predicted model, not a curated record.